RNAcentral lists this long non-coding RNA (504 nucleotides) under Mytilus galloprovincialis (Mediterranean mussel). Lineage: Eukaryota; Metazoa; Mollusca; Bivalvia; Mytilida; Mytilidae. The record is from RNAcentral.
CAAAAUAGAGGUCAAGUUCAAUAAUGACGAUUUUGACUUUUACCGUUCAGGAGUUAUGGUUCUUGAAAGAUCGUAAAAUGGUGUUUCCAUUCAGGUUGUUGCAUUUACUCAUGAACCAUUCAAUCUAAGCUUUUCAAAUUUUAAUAUGUUGAUACUGAUGACAAAAUGGAGGUCAAAUUUGAUAUUGACGAUUUUCACUUUCACCAUUCAUCAGUAAUGGUUCUUGUGAUAUUGCCAGGACACAAAUUAAUGUUAAUAAAUCCGGUUUGCUGUCGUUGUGACAGCCUCUUGUAUAGAUCGUACAUCGAAGCUAGAAAAAUAAUAAUUACACCACUGAAUUCAGUACAUUGAAUUGUUUUGUUAGACAUGAAUACUUUUUAUAAUGAAAAUAUAUUUAGAAAGUUAUACAAUGAAACAUGCUGAACUUUCAAUGAUUUUCUCGAUAACACCUGAUUAACAGACUUUAGCCAACCCGAUUAACAGACCAACCGCCGAUAUAGCCGC